UGGGGAAUAUUGCACAAUGGAGGGAACUCUGAUGCAGCAACGCCGCGUGCGGGAUGACGGCCUUCGGGUUGUAAACCGCUUUCAGCCAUGACGAAGCUUUUGUGACGGUAGUAGUAGAAGAAGCACCGGCUAACUACGUGCCAGCAGCCGCGGUGAUACGUAGGGUGCGAGCGUUGUCCGGAAUUAUUGGGCGUAAAGAGCUUGUAGGCGGUUUGUCGCGGCGAUAGUGUAAACACGCAGCUUAACUGUGUGCCUGCUGUCGAUACGGGCUGACUAGAGGAGGGUAGGGGAGAAUGGAAUUCCCGGUGGAGCGGUGGAAUGCGCAGAUAUCGGGAGGAACACCAGUGGCGAAGGCGGUUCUCUGGACCUUUCCUGACGCUGAGAAGCGAAAGCGUGGGUAGCAAACAGG
RNAcentral lists this ribosomal RNA (409 nucleotides) under Fusobacteriota bacterium. RNAcentral's name for it is "Fusobacteria bacterium partial 16S ribosomal RNA". It matches the Rfam family "Bacterial small subunit ribosomal RNA", at positions 355 to 776 of the family's 1533-position model. The record is from RNAcentral. Lineage: Bacteria; Fusobacteriati; Fusobacteriota.